UACAGAGGUCUCAAGCGUUGUUCGGAUUCAUUGGGCGUAAAGGGUGCGUAGGUGGCGGGGCAAGUCUGGUGUGAAAUCCUAGGGCUCAACCCUGGAACUGCACUGAAUACUGCUUUGCUAGAGUACUGGAGAGGGAACUGGAAUUUACGGUGUAGCAGUGAAAUGCGUAGAUAUCGUAAGGAAGACCAGUGGCGAAGGCGAGUUCCUGGACAGUUACUGACACCGAGGCACGAAGGCCAGGGGAGCGAACGGG
RNAcentral lists this ribosomal RNA (253 nucleotides) under uncultured bacterium. Its description in RNAcentral is "partial 16S ribosomal RNA". It matches the Rfam family "Bacterial small subunit ribosomal RNA", at positions 524 to 776 of the family's 1533-position model. The record is from RNAcentral.